RNAcentral lists this ribosomal RNA (480 nucleotides) under uncultured bacterium. RNAcentral's name for it is "bacterial SSU rRNA". It matches the Rfam family "Bacterial small subunit ribosomal RNA", at positions 29 to 507 of the family's 1533-position model. The record is from RNAcentral.
AUGAACGCUAGCGGCAGGCUUUAACACAUGCAAGUCGAGGGGUAUAGUUCUUCGGAACUAGANACCGGGCGCACGGGUGCGUAACGCGUAUGCAAUCUACCUUUUACAGAGGGAUAGCCCAGAGAAAUUUGGAUUAAUACCUCAUAGUAUGUGAGAAUCGCAUGGUUUUUCACAUUAAAGUUCCAACGGUAAAAGAUGAGCAUGCGUCCCAUUAGCUAGAUGGUAAGGUAACGGCUUACCAUGGCGACGAUGGGUAGGGGUCCUGAGAGGGAGAUCCCCCACACUGGUACUGAGACACGGACCAGACUCCUACGGGAGGCAGCAGUGAGGAAUAUUGGACAAUGGGCGCAAGCCUGAUCCAGCCAUGCCGCGUGCAGGAUGACGGUCCUAUGGAUUGUAAACUGCUUUUGUACAGGAAGAAACACUCCCUCGUGAGGGAGCUUGACGGUACUGUAAGAAUAAGGAUCGGCUAACUCCGUG